AACCCCUUCCUCAUUCAUUCGCACGGUUUGGCCGAAACCGAGAGGAGAGGAGCGAACGGCUAGAGCGGACGGGCGGGCGACGGGGUCGCUCCGGAGACGUUUUUCCGGCAAGGAAAUUUGUGAAAAUUGAAGAGGAAGACGAGGGGAAUACUAAGGUGGUGAUUAUUAAAGGGAUCAAAACUUGUCAACGACACUAAGGAAGUACUGUGCUUGGGUUAAGGAGAAUCAUUUGGGAAGUGAUGGCAAUGAGACGACAGUACACUUACCAUCAUAGAGGGCAUCAGGAAGAAAGGUUUUAUAAGUUCUGUCAUGUGUUUGAGUCAGUGGAUUGUAUUUGAGGAGUCUGUUGGAGCUUAUGUUGAUGUUUGUGUUUAUGUUUUUAGUUGUUGUGAUUUAGAAGAUACAAUUUGGAACACUUUCAGUUGGAUUUUUUUUAGUGGCUCUUUUUUAUUUAUAUAUGGAUGAUGAUGAAGUUUAUGUUAUGUUAUAUUAGUCAGUGAA
This is a long non-coding RNA of Dendrobium catenatum, 501 nucleotides long. RefSeq lists it as uncharacterized. The record is from RefSeq and is a predicted model, not a curated record. Lineage: Eukaryota; Viridiplantae; Streptophyta; Magnoliopsida; Asparagales; Orchidaceae. The transcript is spliced from 3 exons.